Long non-coding RNA from Cydia amplana, 421 nucleotides. RefSeq lists it as uncharacterized. The record is from RefSeq and is a predicted model, not a curated record. NCBI's taxonomy places the organism in Eukaryota, Metazoa, Arthropoda, Insecta, Lepidoptera, Tortricidae. The transcript has 3 exons.
CAUAUAACAAAUGCGCCAGUCGUUGCCAAGUUUUGCAUCCGGGCAGAUUCGCGAUGUUACUGUGUAUACCGUUAUUAAUUGUAGUGUUACUUAUUUGGUUGCAUUUGCACUUUAGAUAUUGUCAUGCAGGCCGACUAAUCGCCAAAAUUCCUGGACCAAGAGGGUGGCCUCUGAUAGGAAACAUCUUGCAGGUUUUAUUACCGCCAGAUGAACUAUUUUUAUAUGCAAGAAAACUGCGAGCAGAGAGUAAAGGACCAAUAUUAAAACUAACUUCUUUCAAUAUUCGCGUAAUUAACAUUUACGACCCAGUGGAUAUCGAGACAAUACUGUCUACAACCCGUUUUAACGAAAAACGCCUUCCGUACACUUUCUUAGCACCCUGGCUCGGCCAAGGAUUACUAGUGAGCAACGGCAAGUAUUA